RNAcentral lists this long non-coding RNA (5314 nucleotides) under Sus scrofa (pig). RNAcentral's name for it is "lncRNA (ENSSSCG00040061394.1)". Lineage: Eukaryota; Metazoa; Chordata; Mammalia; Artiodactyla; Suidae. The record is from RNAcentral.
GGCAGUCGGAGCUAGGAAUUGGCAGAGCCGUAACAGAGCCUAGGUCCUUGGACUAGUAGUGGUCAUUGGACUUCCCAGUUGGGUGCUCUCUGGUAGGUUGCAGACGCAGUUCGGAUCCCGCAUUGCUGUGGCUCUGGUGUAGGCCAGUGGCUAUAGCUCCGAUACGACCCCUAGCCUGGGAACCUCCAUAUGCGGAGGGAACGGCCCCAGAAAAGGCAAAAAGAUAAAUGAAUGAAUGAAUGAGGCUACACAAGGGAACCCAUGCCUUCAGAAAGGGGUCCCAUUCUCUGAGAUUCCAUCAACACCCUCUAAUGGGUGGGCUUUAAUUUCCCACAAAGCAGCUUUCUUUUCCAAAGGUGAGAGGCUCAUCUGGGAAAUUAUUGCAGCUGUUUUUUUUUUCCCCAGCUCUUUAAAACUAAGUGUUGCCAUUUGUAUUUUAACGAGGGUGGAGGGUGGAGAAUGGUUGCCAUUUUUCAGAGCCUUCUAGGCAUGUCUCAGAUCACAACAAAUAAAAGAGAGCUUCCAUAAAAGUCAAUGGCAAAAUCAGAAACAGCACAUCAACCCUACUCACAGUUGCUAAUUCAGCUUAUAUUUGUUGCUUGCCUGUUCUGUGAAAUAAUUUGCAUACAUUUUUUCCAGCCCUGGGGACAAUUCCGUCCAAGCCUUCGUUAGGAUCCCCACUGUACAAAGACCGAAACUGAAAUGACUUUGCUGCAAUCACGUCAUCAAAUAAGUGCCCAGGUCUGGAAUCAAGAACUCUGUUGGCCCCAGAUCUAGGUCUUUCCCUUUCCCUUUAGAUGAAAUUCUAACCUCCUCGAACCACUGGUAGUGGUACUUGGUGUUUCUCUAGACUCGUAUUUCCAUUGCUUGUUCUGUGGAUCCUUAGGUCUGUGGAGGUGCCUCAGGAGUGGAAAGUCAAGGGCGAGCCUGAAUCAAUGGCACCCAGUGCCCCCCACUUCCAUUUCAUAAGAACCGUCUUAAUGUUUUGUUUUUUUUUAAUUUGGGGGGGUGGGGUUCUGGGUAUUAUUUAAUUUGGAAAAAAAAAAUUCUGCCAUUUGUUUCUUUAGAGCAUUGCUCUAAGAAAAGUUUGAGCCAAAUCCAGCAAGGCAUGCCUCCUUGCCCUCACUAGUUUUCUAGAACUAGAACAAGUUGGGUCAUGUCUCUCAAGGAAACAGGCACUGAGAGAGAAGAUGAAAAAUGUGCAACUAUGAGCUUGGGUUGGAAUGGAGACCAUGCAGUCUGAUGCCAAGGCCAUGGAAUGCAGUAAGCUUUCCCGUGGAUGAACUGCUCUCAGGUGGGGAUUUUAGAAGAAUCCCCACUGGUCAAUUUAUGCUUGAUCAGUUUAGCUUAAAACCUGGCCCAGUUGGUUUUCUAGCUCCCUCUGCCACUGUCACUGUCAUAGGUGCCAUUGAGAGCAGUCAUGUGGGCAGCAGGGCGACAUCCAGUCUCAGGGCUGCCUGGUUCCCCUCUCACCCAGGCCCCUUGCUCACCGUCCCAGGCAGUGGAUCCCUGUUGAGCUCACCCACCUGCUGUAUCCAGCCCCACACUUCACUUUCCUUGCCCUCAGGAAGCUUACAGCCCAGCAGGAUAGAGACAAAUGUCCAGCCAAAGCAUGAUAGGGAAGCAGAGAGAGAGAUGACAGGGGGACGGCACUUGGAGGGGUAAGAAGAGUUUGUCGGGCGGAGAGAGAAUGAAGGGAGCUUUCUGUCAGAUUGCCCCAGACCUCAGAGGUGUGAACAACGGACUGGAAGUUAUUCUGUGUGGUUGGGGUUGAUGGGGGGGCGGGUAUGUUCUUUAUUGCACUGCUCUGUAGUCAGUUUCCUCUGCCUGCAUCCAUCUCUGGGUUACCACGCCAACCUGCUCCCACACAUGUCAUCCACCUAACUAACACGUGUCAGCUGAAACUCUCUUUCCUUCAGGAGACCGUAUUUGGGGACAUCCUAGCACACAUUUGCUCGAAUUGAUUGUCCCUCUAUCGUCUCUUGUACUAAAUGAGCUUGGUAAGCAAGGGCUGUGCCUGUGUGUUCAUCACUGGGACAGAAUGAAUGACAGAAGACAGAGCUGUGACGCUGGAUUAAGUCCGUAUGUGGCGAGCCUUGACUUUGGACUUUAGCCCGAAAACAGCAGGGUCCCUCUGAACUUACUAAAGUGAGGAAUUACAUGAUCUGACUUGAACAGAAAAAAGAUAAUUGGUGCCAGUGUGAUAACUUAACCAUAGGUUUUCAGUGAGGAUCAUAUGGAGUAAUAAAUGGAGUUGUUUUUGUUGUUGUUGUUUUUGUUUUUGUUUUUGUUUUUAAGAAAAGCUCUUCUAAACUGUAAAGUGCUUAUCUAAGUGGAGGACGUAGCUAUUACACCUUUUUUUUUUUUUUUUUUUGAUGCCUGUGAUUCAGAAUUAGUAUUUCAAUGAAUGAACCCUCUCCAUCAUCCUCCAGUUUGUAAUCUAAUUCAUUUGGUAAUUCAGUGGUUAAUUCCACAGAACAUUUUCUCUUCUUCCUGAGUGAAGACAGGUAAAGGGAUCCUAGUUAGAGGCCUGGCCCCUCUUUGCAUUUCAAAGCGUUUCCAUGUGGAACUGCCAAAUUCCAGUGUGCUAUUUCAAUGGGCAGCACAUCAACAAAAAUCUGUCCUCAUCAAAAAUUCAGGAAAAUAAAGUAAAAAGAUGUAAGGCCACAUUUUCAAAGGAUUCAGCCUGACCCUCUUGUGUUUUUUUUUUGUGUGUGUGUAUGCAAAAUGUAUUUUUUCGCACCUGCAAGCACAGUCUCUUUAAGCCAACUAGAACCUCCAAAUUGCCAAGGCUUAAAAAAAACGUCUGCCUUUCAAAUCCAGCCCAGAAACUGAGCAAUGAAACAAGGAUGGGGUGGAGGGCUGCCUAAAACUAUUUAUAGGAGUAUUGGGGGAGAUAAUUACUACCUUGCUCUGAAAUACCUCUGCUUGGCAGAAAUAUGAGUCCCGCACAUCAGCGAUCGAGGGAAUCCUUAAAGAUGGCGGAGAAUGGCAGCCAGAAUGCCUUCCUCUUCCUUGACCUAUUUUUUAAAUCAGUCUGUGUAAGACGCUUUGUAAAUUUCAACUGCAUUCAUUCAUGCCUUUAUCUUUCAUCCACACUGUGGACUUUCAGAGAGCUAUUGUUCCUAUUGAGGUUUCAGAUUCUGUACUAGGUUCUACAGAUUUAGUGGUGAACAUAAGGUCAGGUCCCUAUUCAGUUUUGUCUGUGUGUGUGUGUUUGUGUGUGUGUGUGUGUGUGUGUGUGUUUAGGGCUGCACCUGUGGCAAUUGGAAGUUCCCAGGCUAGGGGUCGAAUUGGAGCUAUAGCUGCUGGCCUACACCAUAGCCACAGCCAUGUGGGAUCUGAGCUGCAUCUGCCACCUACAUCACAGCACACGGUAACACCGGUUCCUUAACUCACUGAGCGAGGCCAGGGAACGAACCCAUAACCUCAUGGAUACUCGUUGGGUUGGUUUUCUGCUGAGCCACAUCGGGAACUCCCAGGUCCAUAUUCUUAAACACCUUCCAACUGAGUAUGAGAUGUCCAGCUACUGACCAUUGGAACAGUCAUUGCAGUUGUGAUGAGAGCUCUGGGAGAAAAUGCUACAUUCCCUUAGGAAGUUUCUGUGAAGGCAGGGAGUUUUGUCUGCUCUGGUCAUGCAGCUGUCCUGACAUGCAUUUUGCAUGAGUUUUGAAACAGAGGGGGGUACAAAGCAUAGCUGAGAGGGCCUGACAUCAUCAGUGAAGCCCAGGAAAGUGGACUCUCCCCAGGACGUGACCUUUAAGCUGAGACGGGAAUCAACUGGUUAAGAAUGGGCACAGGCAGGGAAUGGAGAGUGUUCUGGCAGAGAGUAGAGUUUGUGAGAAGGCCUCCCAGGAAGACAGCACUCCCUGCCCUUGACAGUGAACCUAGAGAUGUAGGCAGCAGCCAGGUCAAGUGUGAUGAUGAAGGUGACAACCCACUAUGCAGAAGUGCUAAAGGGUCCUGAGCUGGGAUCGUUCUUUUGGUAGAAUCAAAAAAAACCCUUCAGAUGGUGGCCUCUUGUGUCCUGGGUCUUAUAGGACUGGUUCCUGGGAAGGAUUUGGAAGUUGAUGGGGACUGUUUUUCAGCCAAGGCUGUAUGUCUACAGUCUUGGCUGAAAGAUGAAACUCCAGGGGAGCCUGGUGGGCACAGAGGGAAUGUGUUUUGAUUAACAAUGAAUGAAUGAAUGAAUGCUUAUUCAUGCCCACUAUGAGCAGCUACCUUGUGCCAAAAGCAAGAAAGGGUUUCAUUGACAAAGGGACAGAAGCUUGAUGGCAAGGGGGUCUCUUGGCACUUUUUCUGAUGGCUUUGCAGAAGAAGCAGUGGCUUCUGGUAUAAGAUCCAGGCCUUGGUGUGCUUAGUUGGGUGUCCUUGAGAGAAUCACCUAAACUCUCCGAAUUUGAUGUCUGUGAUGGAUCAAGCACAGUGGUGAUUUCCUAGUAGAUGCUGCCUCAGUUAUGUCCUCUGCAUUUGUUCAUUCAAGGAACAUCUAGUACACACCUAAUAUGGACCUGGCCCUGGGCUAAGUACUAAGGACGUGGGAAUGAGUUAAGACAUUAAUACAGAUUUCUUGCCUUGCCUAUCUACUUCAGGUAGCUUUGUUUUGAUUAUCAAGUGAGAAUAUGUAUGAAGACGUUUUGAAGAUGGCAAGUGAUGUAUAAACAUGAGUUGUUUUUUAUUCUAUAACCUUGCCUGUUUAUCAAGCAUCACCUUCAGGUAUUAACUUUCAAAAUUGCAACUGGAAUCACUUGUGGGCUUGGUCAAAUGUAAUUAUUAAAUUUUUAGCUAGCAUUUAUUUUAGUUCUCAUUAAGUUCCAGGCACAGUCUGAAGGGCUUUCCAUGCGUGAACUCACUGAGUCCUUAUCACACCCCUAUGCAGAAACCAGGGCCCAGAAGGAUGAAAGCACUUGCCCCAGGUCGAACCAUCAAAAGCCACAGACUCAGGCUUGAAGGCAGAGGCUCUCUGCCUCCAGUUCACCUGCUGGUAACUGGUACAUAAGGUAUAGCAGCAAGACUGGCUUUUUCUUUCACUGUCAGAUUAAUCAUUGCUCUUGGCCUCCCCUCCCUGUCACAGACUGAACUGCAUGUUGCAUGACAGCUGAGACCACGUUGAUGUAGUCCCUGUCCCUAAAACAGUGCCCAGCACAUGGUAUGUGUUCAGUAAAUACGUGAGGGAUGAAUCCUUUCUAGCAGCGUAAACACACUAUUUUUUUUUAAGUUUAUAUCAUUGUUAUUUUUAUUUGAUGCAAACAGAUUGAUCCCUGGCUUGGGAACUCCAAAUGCUGUGGGGUGGCCAAAAAAGAAAAAAAAAAAA